UUGCACGCUGGCGGCAGGCCUAACACAUGCAAGUCGAGCGGAUGAAGGGAGCUUGCUCCUGGAUUCAGCGGCGGACGGGUGAGUAAUGCCUAGGAAUCUGCCUGGUAGUGGGGGAUAACGUCCGGAAACGGGCGCUAAUACCGCAUACGUCCUGAGGGAGAAAGUGGGGGAUCUUCGGACCUCACGCUAUCAGAUGAGCCUAGGUCGGAUUAGCUAGUUGGUGGGGUAAAGGCCUACCAAGGCGACGAUCCGUAACUGGUCUGAGAGGAUGAUCAGUCACACUGGAACUGAGACACGGUCCAGACUCCUACGGGAGGCAGCAGUGGGGAAUAUUGGACAAUGGGCGAAAGCCUGAUCCAGCCAUGCCGCGUGUGUGAAGAAGGUCUUCGGAUUGUAAAGCACUUUAAGUUGGGAGGAAGGGCAGUAAGUUAAUACCUGGCUGUUUUGACGUUACCAACAGAAUAAGCACCGGCUAACUUCGU
This 482-nucleotide ribosomal RNA is filed under the name uncultured bacterium. Its description in RNAcentral is "partial 16S ribosomal RNA". It matches the Rfam family "Bacterial small subunit ribosomal RNA", at positions 30 to 506 of the family's 1533-position model. The record is from RNAcentral.